RNAcentral lists this ribosomal RNA (206 nucleotides) under uncultured bacterium. Its description in RNAcentral is "partial 16S ribosomal RNA". It matches the Rfam family "Bacterial small subunit ribosomal RNA", at positions 568 to 774 of the family's 1533-position model. The record is from RNAcentral.
UACGUAGGCGGUUAAAUAAGUCAGGUGUAAAAGGCAUUGGCUCAACCAAUGUAAGCACUUGAAACUGUUUGACUUGAGUAUAGGAGAGGUAAGUGGAAUUCCUAGUGUAGCGGUGAAAUGCGUAGAUAUUAGGAGGAACACCAGUGGCGAAGGCGACUUACUGGACUAUUACUGACGCUGAGGCGCGAAAGCGUGGGGAGCAAACA